Sphingobium sp. GW456-12-10-14-TSB1 is the source of this 128-nucleotide non-coding RNA. The record is from Rfam. NCBI's taxonomy places the organism in Bacteria, Pseudomonadati, Pseudomonadota, Alphaproteobacteria, Sphingomonadales, Sphingobiaceae.
UUUCAACCCACGGGGUGUCCUGGCGCUGUCAGGGCUGAGAGGCGGAUCGGGCGCAGGGGGCGUCCAGUCUGCAAACCCGCGAACCUGAUCCGGCUCACACCGGCGGAGGAAUAGGGAUAUGCGUCUUU